CCUACGGGAGGCAGCAGUGGGGAAUAUUGGACAAUGGGCGCAAGCCUGAUCCAGCCAUGCCGCGUGAGUGAUGAAGGCCUUAGGGUUGUAAAGCUCUUUCGCCGACGAAGAUAAUGACGGUAGUCGGAGAAGAAGCCCCGGCUAACUUCGUGCCAGCAGCCGCGGUAAUACGAAGGGGGCUAGCGUUGUUCGGAAUCACUGGGCGUAAAGCGCACGUAGGCGGAUUGUUAAGUCAGGGGUGAAAGCCUGGAGCUCAACUCCAGAACUGCCCUUGAUACUGGCAAUCUCGAGUCCGGAAGAGGUAAGUGGAACUGCGAGUGUAGAGGUGAAAUUCGUAGAUAUUCGCAAGAACACCAGUGGCGAAGGCGGCUUACUGGUCCGGUACUGACGCUGAGGUGCGAAAGCGUGGGGAGCAAACAGGAUUAGAUACCCCAGUAGUC
This 440-nucleotide ribosomal RNA is filed under the name uncultured bacterium. Its description in RNAcentral is "bacterial SSU rRNA". It matches the Rfam family "Bacterial small subunit ribosomal RNA", at positions 338 to 795 of the family's 1533-position model. The record is from RNAcentral.